GGGGAUCUUCUGGACCCAGGGAUCAGCCCCAAGUCUCUUACUGUCUCCUGGAUUGGCAGGUGCGAGGGGUUUUUUCGUCUCCUUCGUGGCCGCAGAGCUCCUCUGGAGAGGGGAUUCGUGGUCAUCUGUCCAUCCUCCCAGAAUGCCACCAGAGGAGGGACCAGCUGCCCGGUGUCCACGUAGUUCUCCAACUGAAUCACACCAAAACAUUUUUAAAGCAUCCU
Bubalus bubalis (water buffalo) is the source of this 224-nucleotide long non-coding RNA. RefSeq lists it as uncharacterized. The record is from RefSeq and is a predicted model, not a curated record. Lineage: Eukaryota; Metazoa; Chordata; Mammalia; Artiodactyla; Bovidae. The transcript is spliced from 3 exons.